GAUGAACAGCAGCAUGGAAGUGUAAGCCGAAUAAACCCUUUCCUCCCCAACUUGCUUCUUGGUCAUGAUGUUUGUGCAGGAAUAGAAACCCUGACUAAGACAAAUUGGUACCAGGAGUGGGGUAUUCCUGUGACAACCUGACCAUGUUUUGGGGAGGUCUGUGGAAGGACUUUGCAACUUUGGUCUUGAAGAUCCAUUUGUUGUUAAGAGCUCUGUGGGAUGUUGUGUAGGAGCUUGGAAGAUAAUGUUGAGAACAGUGCAGAAGAUGGAGGCCUGGCUUGUGAAAUUUCAGAGGGAAAAUUAAAGACUCUUUUCAGGGCCAUUUCUGUUUUGAUUGUGAAGAUUCUGUAGUUCUGGUUAGCUGGGGCUGAAGAAUCAGCUGUGAUUAACAAGAUACCAGAACUACUGAAGCAAAAGCUUUGCAUUACUGGGACUAUUGAUGCUGGUUAGCUGGAGCUAAGAAAUUAGCGGUGAUUAAGAAGAGACCAGCAUCAUUGAGGUGACAUCUUCUGGGAAGUGUUUUCUGAGAGCACAGUGGCUGUGUUCCAGAUAUAGCCAAAGUUGUACCUUGUGCUGUGGCUGGACUUGGUAAUGUGUAAGAGUCACCCAGGUGGUACUGGUUUUGAAGGCAUGAAGGAGUUGAGCAGAACAGCUGAGGCUUGGCACUGUGAGAGGCCAUGGAAGGCCAUUGGUGAAAGUCCAGCCUCAUUUGCAAUUGAUGGCCCAGGACUGAAGGGGUCAUGCAGUGUUUUGGAGAUGCCAGUACCAUGAGAUGACCACCAAGAACAGCAGCAGCAGUGGAGUACAGGCAUCUGGAGCCUAGAGGAUGACGCGUGUGCUACAAAGGGCCUGGCUGGAGAAGUGACCCAAGCCCUUGGAGGAGCCCAGAAGAUUGUGAGUUGGAUCCCAGACAUUGGACAGUUGGAGAUUGACUUUUGCUUUUGAUUGUGACUGUGCCCUGAUAUUUUCCCUCUUGAAGGAAGAAACUG
This 989-nucleotide long non-coding RNA is filed under the name Mus musculus (house mouse). RNAcentral's name for it is "long non-coding RNA chr12:64464279-64465268". The record is from RNAcentral. Lineage: Eukaryota; Metazoa; Chordata; Mammalia; Rodentia; Muridae.